AUGGCGCUGUGCUCUCUCCUGAGAAAGAUGCCUGCCCUUGCACUCAGGUCGCCACCGAUGGCAACCCGCAUGGGCACCAUGCGCGCUCUCUCGGCGGCGGCGGGUUCUCGCUUCAUGUCCCAUGGUGCACCGGAGAGACAGAUGAUUUAUCCUGAAAAGGGGGCCAAACUGCUCGAGGAAACAAAGCGCAAUCAGGCACAGGCCGACCAAUACCUGAAGGAUGCACGCAAAAAAUUGGCUAUUUUGGAUGAACUUCAGAGGCCUGGAUGGUGUGAUCCUAAAGUAAAUUUCCAUGAUGAGCUUCGUAAACUUGAGAAGACAUGUGAUAUAGCUCUUUUGAUACUAGUGCCUACAACUCUUAUGCUUUUUAUGGCUGUAGUAUAA
This 384-nucleotide ribosomal RNA is filed under the name Triticum aestivum (bread wheat). Its description in RNAcentral is "partial small subunit ribosomal RNA". Lineage: Eukaryota; Viridiplantae; Streptophyta; Magnoliopsida; Poales; Poaceae. The record is from RNAcentral.